Eucalyptus grandis is the source of this 351-nucleotide RNA transcript. It is a transcript of the gene named histidine-containing phosphotransfer protein 1, with no coding region annotated. The transcript has 4 exons. The record is from RefSeq and is a predicted model, not a curated record. NCBI's taxonomy places the organism in Eukaryota, Viridiplantae, Streptophyta, Magnoliopsida, Myrtales, Myrtaceae.
AUGGAUGCGGAUCUGGUACAAAUGCAGAAGAGGUUGGCUGAUUACAAGAACGCCAUGUUCAAGGAGGGGAUUCUGGAUUCUCAAUACUAGGAACUUCAUGAACUGCAAGAUGAGAGCAACCCGGAAUUUGUAGUGGAAGUGGUGUAUCUUUUCCUCGCUGAUUCUGAGAAGCUGCUCGAUGAUCUCUCCAUAGAUCUAACUCAGCAAAAUGUGGACUUCCAACGGGUUGAUGUUCAUGUGGACCGGUUAGAGGGCCAAAGUCGUAGCAUUGGAGCACCGAGACUUAAGAAUGCCUGCAUAGCCUUCCGCCACUUCCGCAACACAUGUCAGGAGACAAACAUUCCUGUGUGA